This 229-nucleotide ribosomal RNA is filed under the name uncultured bacterium. RNAcentral describes it as "partial 16S ribosomal RNA". It matches the Rfam family "Bacterial small subunit ribosomal RNA", at positions 568 to 796 of the family's 1533-position model. The record is from RNAcentral.
CACGUAGGCGGCCUGGUAAGUCAGAUGUGAAAGCCCGGGGCUUAACCCCGGAAGUGCAUUUGAUACUGUCAGGCUUGAGUAUGGGAGAGGGAAGUGGAAUUCCUGGUGUAGAGGUGAAAUUCGUAGAUAUCAGGAGGAACACCGGUGGCGAAGGCGACUUCCUGGACCAAUACUGACGCUGAGAUGCGAAGGCGUGGGUAGCAAACAGGAUUAGAUACCCUGGUAGUCC